RNAcentral lists this ribosomal RNA (253 nucleotides) under uncultured bacterium. RNAcentral's name for it is "partial 16S ribosomal RNA". It matches the Rfam family "Bacterial small subunit ribosomal RNA", at positions 524 to 776 of the family's 1533-position model. The record is from RNAcentral.
UACGUAGGGUGCAAGCGUUACUCGGAAUUACUGGGCGUAAAGCGUGCGUAGGUGGUUUGUUAAGUCUGUUGUGAAAGCCCCGGGCUCAACCUGGGAAUGGCAGUGGAUACUGGCAAGCUAGAGUGCGGUAGAGGGUAGUGGAAUUCCCGGUGUAGCGGUGAAAUUCGUAGAUAUUGGGAAGAACACCGGUGGCGAAGGCGGCUCUCUGGACCGAGACUGACGCUGAGGCGCGAAAGCGUGGGGAGCAAACAGG